AAGAUUUUAAGUUAAAUAAACUUAAAACCUUCAAAGUUUUAAAUAAAUAUAUAUAAUUCUUA
Molecule: transfer RNA, 62 nt
Filed under: Lasioglossum malachurum
Lineage: Eukaryota; Metazoa; Arthropoda; Insecta; Hymenoptera; Halictidae
Description: tRNA-Trp
Source: RNAcentral